This 347-nucleotide unclassified non-coding RNA is filed under the name soil metagenome. RNAcentral describes it as "partial contains 5.8S ribosomal RNA, internal transcribed spacer 2, and large subunit ribosomal RNA". The stretch from base 1 to 120 matches the Rfam family "5.8S ribosomal RNA", at positions 35 to 154 of the family's 154-position model. The record is from RNAcentral.
GAUGAAGAACGUAGCGAAAUGCGAUAAGUAGUGUGAAUUGCAGAAUUCCGUGAAUCAUCGAAUCUUUGAACGCACGUUGCGCCUCCUGGUAGUCCGGGAGGCAUGCCUGUUCGAGCGUCACCAAAUCCAACUCAAGCGGUUUUGCGCUUGGUCGUGGCGGAAGAGUCGGUCUGGUUGCCGUCUCCCCUCCGAAAAUCAACGGCGGAAAGUCACUGGCAGUCAGCGUAGUAGUAUCGUUCGCCGAACAUCCAGUGGCAUUUCUGCCGACGUACCCCCACAAUUCUCGUGAUUGACCUCGGAUCAGGUAGGGAUACCCGCUGAACUUAAGCAUAUCAAUAAGCGGAGGA